AGAGGAGGAGCAGACACAGAGAGAUUGACUGACUUGCCCAAGGUCAUCACAGCAAGUGAAGGGGAAAACAGAGGACUCAACCGCUUCUGAUGACCAGUGGUGUUCAAUCAACUGGCUUCACCCUGAAUAAAAGAGCAGUGAGGGGUGUGGGUUCAAAUCCCACUAAGGCAGUGUCUCGGAGACCAGUCAUUCUCCGCCUGUAAAUACGGGCCUCUCCGUGAUGAGAACCUGAGGCAGAGAGGGAGGAGACAGCUUGAUCAAGGAGCCACAACUCGUCAGCCUCCGAGGCUGGGAUGUGAAGAGACUCCUCGUGUUGAAAUCGCAACCUCAGGUCACUGCUCCAAGGCUGUCCUCAGUUUAAAGGUUUUAUAAGAAAAGCCGGUGGGCUCCCAGGCAAAGUUAAAAAGGUGCCUGUUUAAUUUGGAGGAACACAUGCAGCUUCUCAGAUGCAAGCCCACAUGUCAGAUUCAGUGAGCAGGUAAGGGUUGGUUGUUGAUUACUUCAAACACAGCCCCGGGACCCAGGACCGCACGACCGACCGCUGGCAGCUCACAGUUUCCUUUGGGGAAAGAACGCGGGGCUUUUCUGCGAGAAAUCCCCGGGUGGUCUGGAUCAAAGCUGGGUGAUCCUGCCUGCUUUUUCCCCUGAGAGAGGACUCCACAGGAGUGCAGACUUCCAUUCAGGGCCUUGGAAUACAGGUGCGUUCCCACUCAUCUCAUUUCAUUAUCCCACAGCACCUACUGGGGAGCUUUGUAGAUGAACAGGCUGAGGCUCCCGGGGGUUAAUAGCUUUGCUCUCAGUUACACCGAUCUCAGUGCUGGAGUCUAGAUUCAAACUGAGGGCUGUCUGGUCUCAAACCUACAUGUGUCUGCCUGUUUCCUCUGGGGCGACGUCAUAGGGAGCACAUUGUGUAUGCUGCUGGAAUUGAAGCAGGAGCCGCGGGCAGGAUGGCUGCCAAGGUGCUUUCAAAGUCCAGAGACCACACUGAUGAUGGCCAGCUGCCUGAGGGUCGCUCUACCUCUCUCCCUCUCUCUCACUGAAGCCUCAGCACCAUCCUGGAAAGUGGGUGCUGUCAUCGUACCCAUUUCAUGAGGCAGGAAGCUGAGCCCAGCGUGGAAUCAGAAAGCCUAGUCCGUGGAUGCUGGGUGGCGGUGCCCAGGUGAGCGGUCUCCGCCGUGGCCUGCAGGCUGCAGGCUGACAGGACCUAAAAGAAACAACACCCCAGUAACAAUGAGCACAUCUAGUACCCAGAUCUUGGUUUCUAACCAUUCUUCAAUACAAGGAACAAGGGCUUCUGGGUGAAAUGCCUGACUCCAGGACUAGAGAAGGAAAUAUGCAAGAUGAGCCUGAAGCAGAAAGUAUGGAAGUGCUGCUCUGUGGACAUGAUGGGGAUAUUUCAAAGGAGCACAAGGGCUAAAUGGAAGGGCUUUCAAAGGCCAGAGCUAGAACAAUUGAAGCAACACAAUGUAGUGUUGGAUUAAAACCCAAAGUAGGAAAUAAAUAUUCAUGAGCCCAUACUUAUCUCAAUAAAUAAUUGAAUAAGUUAACAAAUCAGGGCGAGGAGACAAAUUUCCUGGGUGGAAGAACUCCAAACAAUCAUGUAGCUACUCUGCCUUCAAGGAGAGGGAAGCAUAACUCAGACUCCUUAAAUGUGGUCUGUGAACAGUGACUUUCCUCCAAAGAAUAAGGGUAAAGGGGGUGGGGUGGGGGGGACGAGUGAUAUUACAGUGGAGAAACCUGACAAGCACAACCUCAACCUCGCCAAGUGGUCAAGUCAACAAGAAGUCAUAAAUCAUGCUGAUAGUAUGUCCCCUUGCUAUGAUAGGACACAACUGGCACUUUACCACCCAAGGACCCAUAACCCUGGACUAGUCAUGAGGAAAAAAAAAACACCGUGUUCCAAUAGAGGGGCGUCCUACAAAAUACGUGACUGGUACUCCUCAAAACUCAAGGCCAUCAAAAAUAAGGAAGGUCUGACAACUGUCACAGCCAAGAGGAGCCUAAGGAGACAUGACAACAAAAUGGAAUGUGGUGUCCUGGCUGGGAUUUUGGAGCAGAAAAAGGAGACUGGGUAAAAACUAAGGAAAUCAGAAUAAGCUAUGAGCUUUAGUUAAUAAUCAUGUAUAAAUAUUGGUUCACUGAUAGUAAUAUACAAUACUAAUGCUUAAUGUUAAUAAUAGAGAAAACUGAAGUGGGGUAUAUGGAAACUCUGUAUUAUGCUUUCAAUAUUUUUGUACAUCUAAAACUGCUCUAAAAAUACAGGCUAUUUUUAAAGUUAAUGAAUAACUUGUUAUCAAUUUAGCUUUAUAAAUUAUUGAGAAGUUGCUAUGUUUACUAUGUCCCAGGCACUGUUACAUUUGGGGAGCUCAAGAUUUUUGUUUGUUUGUCAAUUUAUUUAAUUUCAAAUCCCAUGGAGCUGUUAUGCAUAUCAAAGAUGAGAAUACAGGUAAAGUGAUUAGAACAGUGGUUGGAACC
Molecule: long non-coding RNA, 2475 nt
Organism: Hipposideros armiger (great roundleaf bat)
Lineage: Eukaryota; Metazoa; Chordata; Mammalia; Chiroptera; Hipposideridae
Exons: 7
Source: RefSeq, a predicted model, not a curated record